UUACUAUUUGCGCAAGUUUUUACUUGUAUAGUUAUGCUUUAGCUCGUGACAAUUCCAGUAUGAAUGACACUGCAACAA
Listeria monocytogenes is the source of this 78-nucleotide non-coding RNA. The record is from Rfam. Lineage: Bacteria; Bacillati; Bacillota; Bacilli; Caryophanales; Listeriaceae.